This 75-nucleotide microRNA precursor is filed under the name Haemonchus placei. RNAcentral describes it as "mir-5928 microRNA precursor family". It matches the Rfam family "mir-5928 microRNA precursor family". The record is from Rfam by way of RNAcentral. Lineage: Eukaryota; Metazoa; Nematoda; Chromadorea; Rhabditida; Trichostrongylidae.
GGCCCAAAUUUGAAAUAGAGUGGAUUAGGAGGGUCAUCUGACCCUACUAGGCUACACUGUUUCGAGUUUGUACCC